RNAcentral lists this long non-coding RNA (269 nucleotides) under Lathyrus oleraceus (garden pea). RNAcentral describes it as "Pisum sativum (pea) long non-coding RNA (PSAT_LNC006627)". The record is from RNAcentral. Lineage: Eukaryota; Viridiplantae; Streptophyta; Magnoliopsida; Fabales; Fabaceae.
UCCCACCAAUAGCAUUUGCUGCAAAGUCAUUCAUAAUGGAAGAAGACUUUAUUUUUACUAUUAUCAUUACUAUUAAUGUUAUUCAUACUUAUUAUCUUUUUAAUUAUUUUUUUUUUACUUCAAUUUUUUUUUUUUCGUAUUGCAUCAUUUAACAUAUUUUUAUUUUUAAUUUCAUUAUGUGUCAUAUUAUUUUUAAUGUGUCAAAUUCAAGGUUCAUUUGUGCUAACAUACCAACCAUCCGGAUCAAAAUGAAAAAACAUGCCUCAAAC